UACUAUCCCGCACUAAGGAUAGCAGUGGAAAGCCCGGAUGCCGGAGUUUACGAAGGCAACGGACUUGCAACGGAUAGCCUGACCCCGA
This 88-nucleotide unclassified non-coding RNA is filed under the name Flavobacterium fontis. RNAcentral describes it as "Flavo-1 RNA". Lineage: Bacteria; Pseudomonadati; Bacteroidota; Flavobacteriia; Flavobacteriales; Flavobacteriaceae. The record is from RNAcentral.